This 372-nucleotide unclassified non-coding RNA is filed under the name uncultured bacterium. Its description in RNAcentral is "contains 16S-23S intergenic spacer region". The record is from RNAcentral.
UCCGGUUUGUCACCGGCAGUCUCCCUAGAGUGCCCUUGCGUAGCAACUGGGGACAAGGGUUGCGCUCGUUGCGGGACUUAACCCAACAUCUCACGACACGAGCUGACGACAGCCAUGCAGCACCUGUGUUACGGCUCCCUUUCGGGCACACCCGGCUCUCACCGGGCUUCCGUACAUGUCAAGGGUAGGUAAGGUUCUUCGCGUUGCGUCGAAUUAAACCACAUGCUCCACUGCUUGUGCGGGCCCCCGUCAAUUCCUUUGAGUUUCAGCCUUGCGGCCGUACUCCCCAGGCGGGAUGCUUAAUGCGUUAGCUGCGCCACUGACGGGUAAACCCGCCAACGGCUAGCAUCCAUCGUUUACGGCGUGGACUAC